CCUACGGGAGGCAGCAGUGGGGAAUAUUGGGCAAUGGGCGCAAGCCUGACCCAGCAACGCCGCGUGAAGGAAGAAGGCUUUCGGGUUGUAAACUUCUUUUGACAGGGAAGAGCAGAAGACGGUGCCUGUCGAAUAAGCCACGGCUAACUACGUGCCAGCAGCCGCGGUAAUACGUAGGUGGCAAGCGUUGUCCGGAUUUACUGGGGGUAAAGGGCGUGUAGCCGGGCUGACAAGUCAGUUGUGAAAUCCGGGGGCUCAACCCCCGAACUGCAUUUGAAACUGUUGGUCUUGAGUAUAGGAGAGGCAGGCGGAAUUCAUAGUGUAGCGGUGAAAUGCGUAGAUAUCAGGAGGAACACCGGCGGCGAAGGCGGCCUGCCGGACCGCGACUGACGUUGAGGCUCGAAAGCGUGGGGAGCGAACAGGAUUAGAUACCCUUGUAGUC
RNAcentral lists this ribosomal RNA (442 nucleotides) under uncultured bacterium. RNAcentral describes it as "partial 16S ribosomal RNA". It matches the Rfam family "Bacterial small subunit ribosomal RNA", at positions 338 to 795 of the family's 1533-position model. The record is from RNAcentral.